This 1297-nucleotide ribosomal RNA is filed under the name Salmonella enterica subsp. enterica serovar Typhimurium. Its description in RNAcentral is "partial 23S ribosomal RNA". It matches the Rfam family "Bacterial large subunit ribosomal RNA", at positions 711 to 1904 of the family's 2925-position model. The record is from RNAcentral. Lineage: Bacteria; Pseudomonadati; Pseudomonadota; Gammaproteobacteria; Enterobacterales; Enterobacteriaceae.
AGACCCGAAACCCGGUGAUCUAGCCAUGGGCAGGUUGAAGGUUGGGUAACACUAACUGGAGGACCGAACCGACUAAUGUUGAAAAAUUAGCGGAUGACCUGUGGCUGGGGGUGAAAGGCCAAUCAAACCGGGAGAUAGCUGGUUCUCCCCGAAAGCUAUUUAGGUAGCGCCUCGUGAAUUCAUCUCCGGGGGUAGAGCACUGUUUCGGCUAGGGGGCCAUCCCGGCUUACCAACCCGAUGCAAACUGCGAAUACCGGAGAAUGUUAUCACGGGAGACACACGGCGGGUGCUAACGUCCGUCGUGAAGAGGGAAACAACCCAGACCGCCAGCUAAGGUCCCAAAGUCAUGGUUAAGUGGGAAACGAUGUGGGAAGGCCCAGACAGCCAGGAUGUUGGCUUAGAAGCAGCCAUCAUUUAAAGAAAGCGUAAUAGCUCACUGGUCGAGUCGGCCUGCGCGGAAGAUGUAACGGGGCUAAACCAUGCACCGAAGCUGCGGCAGCGAACGUAUCACCCAAGACAACUUUACGGAGUUGACGAUUGACGGAGCGAAGCGACGUCAAAGCGUUCAUUAAAGUCGAGUUGGCUUAGGGAUACGUUCGUUGGGUAGGGGAGCGUUCUGUAAGCCUGUGAAGGUGUGUCGUGAGGCAUGCUGGAGGUAUCAGAAGUGCGAAUGCUGACAUAAGUAACGAUAAAGCGGGUGAAAAGCCCGCUCGCCGGAAGACCAAGGGUUCCUGUCCAACGUUAAUCGGGGCAGGGUGAGUCGACCCCUAAGGCGAGGCCGAAAGGCGUAGUCGAUGGGAAACGGGUUAAUAUUCCCGUACUUGGUGUUACUGCGAAGGGGGGACGGAGAAGGCUAUGUUGGCCGGGCGACGGUUGUCCCGGUUUAAGCGUGUAGGUGUGUGUUCCAGGUAAAUCCGGUUCACUUUAACACUGAGGCGUGACGACGAGGCACUACGGUGCUGAAGCAACAAAUGCCCUGCUUCCAGGAAAAGCCUCUAAGCAUCAGGUAACACGAAAUCGUACCCCAAACCGACACAGGUGGUCAGGUAGAGAAUACCAAGGCGCUUGAGAGAACUCGGGUGAAGGAACUAGGCAAAAUGGUGCCGUAACUUCGGGAGAAGGCACGCUGACACGUAGGUGAAGUGAUUUACUCAUGGAGCUGAAGUCAGUCGAAGAUACCAGCUGGCUGCAACUGUUUAUUAAAAACACAGCACUGUGCAAACACGAAAGUGGACGUAUACGGUGUGACGCCUGCCCGGUGCCGGAAGGUUAAUUGAUGGGGUCAGCGUAAGCGAAG